UAAAUUGAAGUCAUUUUGCCUAAUUCAUUUGUUUUGUAGCCUAGUUCUUACCCAAUUUAUUACAAAUAUAGCCAAUUUACAUUUAAUUCAUGUCAAAUUUGGCCACAAGUAUUUCAAUUUUAAUCGAAUUAAAUUAUUGAUCCUAUUUUAAUAUCACCCAUUGAUCAAAAUUGAUCCAACAGCUGAGAUGCCUCAACCCUAUUCUUUCCAUUUAUACAACCAAAAACCCUAAUCCCCAUUUUUCCUCAAACCAAACAGCCGCUCCAUCCCUCUCUCUCUCCAAACCCCACUCUCAUCUCCCUUUCCAAAAAUCAGCCCUCACUGCCGCCCCUCUCCAUAUCGGGGCCACUCCAACCUGCCAUCGCGACCUCGCCGUCCCCCAGCAGCUAUCUCCGGCGACGAACAGUCGCCGCCUCUCCACUCCAACCACACGUCCUCCACCGGCUAACAGUAACAACCAACAGCCCCCCGGUGAGCCCUCUCCCUCUCUGUCAGACGCCAACCAUCGGCGUCAAACCAACGACAACACCAGCUGUCAACCCCAAGCGCCGCAUCUGCCACAACAUUACUACCAAACCUUACCUUCCAUGCGACCUGUCCUUCACCGAAAAAUCGAUGGGUUCUUGAAAACCCGUCCACAAGUUUGUUUAUGUGUUGAAGUUUUAUGUCUAAUUUCUCCUACCUCCUUUUCUUUUCUGUGACACAGUUCAAAAUAUGAGUUUGAUUGAUGUUUUGGUUCGUUUCUUUGUAAUUCGUUAUUUUCGAUUUGCUCAGACUGUCAUAUACGAAAUUGCCCAAAUAUUACUGAUUUGAAUUAGCCUAUAUUUCUUUAAGAUUGUGAGCAAUUUUGCUAUCCUAUUUUGAACUGAUAUGCUAAGUAUGGUAUUCCCCAAAGCUUCCCAUAUUGCGAGCUUCUAUUCAUGACUGUCCUGUGAUUUAACCCUCUUAUUUGAGCUUUAAUAAUUUUUAAGUUUGUUCCCGUUGAUUACUACCUACUUUAGUAUUAGAAUGGGAUCUCAAUAAAAUCGUUGGUAUUUGAUUGAUAUAUUUUUUGGUAAAGCUCGAACCCUUCUUUUAACAUGAUUUGAGUAGGGGAUAUUUUAAGUGAUUAUUGAACUUAUUUGUGCUAAUUACCAACCUUGAUAUGUUUUCUACCGUUGGUACUUAUUCCCUCUUAAAUUAGUGCUUUCCUUGUACUUAUCUCUCAUCUAUUUAUGGUCUCUCAUCUAUUUAUGGUAAACCUGCUUAUAAUUGAUUCUCCUUACUUAACUAAGGAAAAUAAUAUUAUGGGUUGAUUUUUUUAACAUCUGCUUUCCUUCAUUAUGAGACUGAUUUAUGAAUGCUUGAUUCAAUGAUUCAAAGAUUGACAUCGACUGACUCAUCAGCUUAUUUUCUUUUCCUUAACUGAUUCUGAUUGGGUGGGAAUUUUUUUUUUUCCUUUUUACCCUCUAAUCCCUUUUACUAUAUAAACUCAUUUUUUUUUUUUAACGGACAAGUUGACAAGUUCUUUAAGUUUUACAAUUACAAUUACCACUACUAUUCUCUCAAACAAAGCAUUAGUGACUUUUAAUACAAAAAGCAAUUACGUACUUUUAAGAGUUCUUCGAGGUUUACGGAAAACAUCUUGCAUAUUUUGCUGUGUUGGGCUUUCUUUCUAUUUCUAUUUUACUUCUAUCUUACUGUUGCUUGCCGGUAAGUCCCUUGUCGAUGUACUUACAUAUUGGAAAGCAUGUCUGUAAGACUAGUUUGAAAUAAUCACUUGAUGUUUACGUGUUGUGUUGUGUUCGUUUGUUUCAAUAUACCUGUGUGUAUUUGUCCCGUACUUUUUUUUUAUUAUGUUCAACAGGUAUUAUUAGAAAGGGAAAUUUCAAAGAGUCGCCGGGAUGUUAAACUGAAUAUUAUUAUAGCUAGUUGUUUUUCUCUCAUUUUUGCAUUAUUCGGUUUGUAAUCUCUGUAAAGACAUUUAUUAAUGAUGUAAUAAUAAUUUUGGAGACUGCUUUGGGGGGCGGUGAAUUACGUGCUCUAUGAAUGAUAUAAGUAGGCACAACAUAGGAUUUUACGUGCAUUAUGUGCUGCAUGAGUCAUUUAGGCACAUAAUCUUAGGAUUUAUUAACAUAUGAGUCGUUUAGACUCUUAAACUAUGUUUUAUAAUUGUUCUUAAUCUAAUUAAAUCAACACACCACAUUGAUCGAUAUUAAGCAUAUGACUAAUUUAUUUGACAUCAAGCACAUUAGUACAUUAUUUGACAUCAAGCAUGUUGGCAUAUUAAUAUAUUUGGUAGCAUAUUAAAUAUAAGUAUUGGGCAUGUUCAUAUAUUUUCAGCAUGUUGACACCUAUAAAAUGAAAUAUUAAUGCAUUCUUCGUAUUAGCAUAUUGAUUCAAUUUCAAGUAUUUUCAGCAUGACUCACAAUAGAUUAAAGAGUUUUGACAUUAAAGUUAAUUACGCUAUCAAAUAGUUUAGUAUGUAAACACAAGUUUGAACAUGUUAGCACACUUCUAGCAACAUUAACAUAAAAUUCCUGCGUGUCAAUAUAUUUUUCAACACUUUAAAAUGGCGUUCCUAUACAAAAUAAUUCAUUCCCGGCAUGGUUAAAGAGGGAUUUCUGCGCAUUAAUUGAAUUUUCAGCAUGUUUUUUUUAAUUUUUCAGCAUGUUUAAUUAACUUUUCAGCAUGUUUAAUUAAUUUUUCAGCAUGUAUAAUUAAUUCUUUCAGUAUAAUUAAUCAAUUUUUGGCAUGUUUAAUUAACUUUUCAGCAUGUUUGAUUAAUUUUUUAAUAUAUUUAAUUAACUUUUCAGCAUGUCUAAUUAAUUUUUCAGCAUGUCUAAUUAACUUUUCAGUAUGAUUAAUCAAUUUUUAGCAUGUUUAAUUCACUUUUCAGCAUGUUUGAUUAAUUUUAACAUGUUUAACAUAACUUUCAGCAUGUCCAAUAACGUUUUCAGCAUUUUCAGUAAGUUUAAAUAUUAUAUCAGCAUGUCAAAUGUUAGCUUUUAGACAUCCUUAGUAUGUUGGUACAUUUUCAGCAUGUCGCUAUGAAGUUCUUGCAAUAGUACAAUUGUUGGUAUAUUAAAAUGCAUAUUUUGGGCACUUUUCGAUACGUUUAAACACUACAGUAAGUAUAUUAUGGCAGCCUUAACAUGUUAAUGCUUUUUAAUAUUCUUGUUGAUUACUCCUAUUCUCAUUAGUUUGUACCACCUAAUUCACAAACACAUUUCUUGACACAUUUACCACACUUUUGACACCCCUCAUGAACACAUUAUAUUGUUGCAUACAUGAAUCACAGUCAUCCUUUAUCACUACCUGUUUAACAUUUAGAUAUCAUGUCUAUAGGUUAACAACAUAAUGAAUAAUUAUUUAUCUCUGCAUGUAAUCACAUUAGUUAAUGUUAAUUAAUCAAGAGGCUAACUUGGGAUUAUCACGUGCUACUUGUUGUCCAAUAUGUUUGCGCUUCGAGUCCUAGGCAACAUAGCUUUCUUUUAGUCUAGAACACAAAUUCAAAAUAGCAAACUCCAAUGUCUCUUGGACGAUAAUUGAGACGAUAAGUAUUACUAAAAACUUUAGUUUUGUCCUUGUCAUAGAACGCCCUUAGACUUGACAUCCAGCCUAGGUGGGGUGGGAUAGGUAGUCAUUCAGAAAUGAUCCCACAAAUAUUAAUGGCGUGGCUAAUGACAUUAUUACUUGUCUAAGAGUUUGACCCUUGGGUUAGAUGAUGAUUAACACGUUGGGUUUCUGAUCCGAACAAAACCAAAACAUUUCUUUGUUUGGCUUGGACGAUUUCUUUUUUUUUUUUAUUUUUUUAUUUACUUUACAUGUUUAUUUGGGGUAGUUAGUUUAUUAUAUGAGCAGUCCCUUUUUAUCAUGAACUAUCUGGCAUUUGUUUUUCCUUGCUUAUCUUAUUUAUAUGUAUUAUUCACUUAGAUAAUCAACCAUUAGAAAUGACAAAAUAACAUGUGUUUUGUUUAUUAAUUGCUUUCUCGCUUAGUCAAAUAUUAAAUUAAUGGUAAAAUAAGAGACCUUUAUUUGAUCACAUAGAAUCCCACGUAAAGUACAAAUUCGGUUGGGAACCACCUUUGUGGACCUCGAAAGGUACCUAACACCUUCCUUUUGAGGUAAUUUGAAUCCUUACCUGAACUCUGGUGAACUAAGACUAAAAUAACAAAAUAGGUUUGUAGUAUCGUAGAUCGGUGCCCUAACGCACCUUAAUACGUUAGAUGGUGACUCUCACACCCCUUUGAAACGUAUCCCAAAAAGAGUUUGUCAAGUUGAAUUUUGCCUUCUGUGACGAAAACGGGGCGCGGGAAUCCUUCGUUGGUUGUUCCUUUGGAGAACAUUUGUAUUUCAGAUUCUUUGUCCUAGGAAGAGGUCCCUAUAAUGAUCUUGGAUCGGCAAGUUCAUCGAUUGCGUAUGAAAGACGUGGCUUCAAUUAAGGUUCUAUGGCGGAGCCAAAAGUCCGAGGAAGCUACUUAGGAAGCUAAGGAGGACAUGAAGUCCAAGUAUCCAUUCCUAUUCUCUAUUCCAGAAAUUCGUGCUUAAGGUAUGUGUUGUUCUUAACAUCUUUGUCUUGUCUUUGUUAAAGAAAAGGUUGAAUUUCAUGGAAUCCCUGUUUUCUAACUUAGUUAAAGGUAAGAGUUAAGGUAUAUAAAGUCCAAUCGUGCUUGUGUUGCCUUAUUCCAUUAUUUGAGGAAAAAUGAUCCAAAAGGGAGAUACUGAAAUACCCUAUGCUUUGGCCCUUGAAAUUUCCUCGAGUAUUGUGCUCACUGUCCUAUUGACGACUCACCAUACGAGUCGUAUGGUGUGGUUACGAGUCUAGGGACCCAAGUCGUAACCAAACCAGUGUGUAAGAGGCUAAGUUUUGUCUUAGCUAUAAGAGACUCCUCACGAGUUGUAUGAUCAUGUGACGAGUGGUUAGAGUCUAGUCAUAUGUUGUCUUCUAACCAAGCCCUUGGUGUUCUAUAUGGGUAACGAAUAGACCAUACGAGUCGUAUAGUAGAGUGAUGAGCGGGACUAGGGAGUCAUAAGUUGGAAAGUAUGUGGUGUCUAAUUUUUUAUCUUGGUGACGACUUAAUGGUAAAAAUUGUAUGCUAUGUUGACGACUCAAGGGCUUGACUCGUAUCCACCUACGCACUUUUUAUAGCUUUUAGGCUGGGGGAAUUUUGGAGAUUUACCACCCAAGACCUUAAGACCCCACGUCUUAUAAAAUCUUUGGGGCAUCCAUUACACCCUUUAGAAGAUCAAACACUCUCUAAACUCUCUCUAAAACUUCUCAAGAAAGAUUAGGCUAGUGUUACUUCAAAGUGGUCAUCUAAGGGCUUAAAUAUCAAAUUCUUUCCGUGACUCUUCAUAACUGAAGCAUGUGAUUCUUCCCGCAUUGUUAUUUUUCUAAAAACAUAAGAUUUAAGCAUUGUUCACAAGUUAAUAAUGGUGGUUUGAAAACCCAUAGUUGAGGGUUUGAAUGCAUAAUGUUGUGUAUUGUUUUCUCAUGAUUUAAAUUAUAAUUAUACAUAUUUUGAUAAUGGUUUUGCACAUGUGGGUGCAUGUGAAUUAUGGUUUAAUAAACAGGUCGUGUUUAACCCUAAAUUUGUUAGUUUUGGGGUUUGAUAAUGGUAUACUCUCAACUUGAUUGUGAAAAUAUCAAUGAGAAUAAUUUCUUCAUAUGUCGAAUUGUUCUAAAUUAAGGCAUUGGCCUACAAAUGUUAAUGAUUGGUAAAUGGUUUAUGAAGGCCUUGCUGGUCAUAAUUUGAUUUGAAAUACUAAAUAGUUUUAAGUCCCUAAAUAUUGAAUUAAAUUAAGGUCGUUGUUUAGACAGGGAGUUUUGAAAUACCCUGGGUUUCUGGCCUUUAGAAAUUUUUUUGGAUUUUUGGUUUUAGAUAGAAUACGGCUAGGAAAAAUAACUCGUACACUGGGAUACAAGUGGUAUGGGUUAGUUGUAUACUGACCUGUGUUGGUUAGUGGGUAGGAUUUAGUUUCUGGAAUGGAUACGACUUGGGUGGUAUGAGUCAUAUCAGUGGAUACAGUUUGUUUGGUUACUUCACCUAGUCUUAGACUUGGUAAUUUAAGUUGGAUCUGAGUACGAGUGGAUUUCCAAGAGCCAUAAGCUAGGGUACAAGUCGUACCAUGGACUUGUAUGGUGGAUAGUGUUAAAUUCUUUUGGGAUUCUAGUCUGCCAGGGGUAUGGAUCAGGGGCACUAGUCAUAUACUAGAGUACACCAUGGUAUGGGGUAAGUCGUACCUUUGACAGUGUUAGGUUCAAGGUAGAAAGCAUUGGGUACUAGUGGUGGGUACCACUCGUAAUGGAUGGUACGACUAGUAUGGAUAGUUGUACCCAACAAACGGGAUUUUUGGGAGUUUAAGUCAGAGUAAUCUGGACAUUUCCCCACUUAACCUAAUAAGGCCCCAUGACCUAUAUUCCUAUUGGGAGGUUAUUUGACCUAUUAUUCUAUUCAUUAACACUUAGAAAUUUCUCCUAAACACUCUAUAAUUCUCUCUAAGGUUUUUGGGUAAAGGAAGGCUAGGGUUUCAUCUUAAGAGUUAAUGUGGGACUUGUGUAGGUUAUUUUUUUCCAUUAUUUUCUUAGUUUAAGGCAUGUUCUCUUCCCUCAUUGUUAGUUCCUACUAAAGGUAUGGUUUUAUACAAUGUUUUCAUGGCUUGAUUAUUGUAUGGUUUUGGAUUUUCAAAUAUAAUAUAGGGGUUUUUGUUAAAAAUGCUGGGUUAUGGGUUUUUCAUGUUUUAAUUAUGCUUUUAUAUUCUUUAAUGGUAGUUUUGGAUAAUUGGUUUCAUGGGAAUGGUUAUUUGGUAAUUGGCUUUGGUUUUGGAAAUACUAUGCCCCCAAUAUGUUUGAUAAAAUGCCUAUGGGAAUGUUUUUAGUACAUUAUUGGACUUUAGUGGAACUAUUGCAUGGUUUAAAAUUGGUAAUAAUGGUUAAAUAGAAUAGUUUGGUGGUCAUGGUUAUGGUUAAUUGAACUUCUUGUGGGGUAUAAUAGAAUUCCCCAAGUAAACAAGUUAAUGAACAAUUUUUGAGGUACAUGAGACUCCCCCAAACAAACAUAAUAGAGCACUUGUGGGGUACAUGGGACUCCGCUAAGUUAACAUGGUAAAUAGGUACACAAGAAUCCCUUUACCUUAGAAGGUUUGGCUAAGGAUAAUACUUGCAAGUUAUAAUCGGUAUGAUGAUACCACCAUUGAUAGCCUUGGUUAAUAAUAAAUGGAAUAAUGGAUUAGUUGGUUGGAAAUGGUUUUAAUUAGGCAAUUAUGGCGGGGUGUGAUAUCUAACUAUGAAGGUGGGAGUUCAUUGAAUGAACACUAGAAACUCAUGUUUGUCAACAUGAGGGGUAGGGCAUGGCGAUCCUUUUAUGAUACUAUGAGGUACGCGGGAAUCCUCAAAGUACAUUGUACAUAUGUAUCAUGAAGGGUUAGGGUACUUGGGAAUUCCUUACGCUUAUGGUAUCUCUGGUUCGAACGGCUACACACAUCGGGGCCCGUUCAAGAGGUUACACUUGACCCAUAUAGCCCAUGGGUAGUUAAGGAUGGUUGAGCUUCACAUACCCAAUUUAAUGUUUUAAAUGCAUGCUAAACCCGAUUCUCUUUCCCGAUAUGGUUAUAUAUGUGUGUUUGUGUGUGUAUGGUUUGUAUGAAUAUGGUUGGUUUACUUGGUUUUAUUGGUUGGUAUUAUUUUAUCCUUAUCCCGAGUUCCAUCUUUGGGAGGCUGUAUCCCCAUGUGAUGUAGGAACUAACCGUUUUACUCCCCCUGCUUAGCUAUCAGACAUUUGAGAUCAGCUAUUGGAUUGAAGUGGUAAGCUUUCAUCUUUUCGAAAGCCUCCAUUUCAUGAAUAUUAUUUCUUACUUUGGUUUAUUUAUGGAUAUUUAUUUUGUCUAUGGUUGGGGGCAUGUCCCAACCAGAUUUUGGUAUUCUUUUGGUUAGAGGAUUUUAUGAAACUACUUUGGGUUGGUAGGGAAGGAUCGGUAUUGUUGUCAGCCUUGGUAUUGGGGAUGAUACCGAAGGACUAAAUUUCUUACUGUCCCAUCUUCUUUUAUUUUUGGAUUAUAUAUAACUAUUACGAAACUCGUAUGGUUAUGUUUUGUCAUUUGAUUUUGCUAUUGGUCGGGUUUGGAUGGUUGGACACGAUUAGGUCGGUCUCGGUAGUAGACAUAUCCCAAAGUUUGUAAUUGAGAUCGUUAUAUUAUCUUGUUAUAUGCUCAAAAUUCAUCCAACUCAGGGCAGACGUCUGGAGAUUGGGUUGGGUAAUGAGGGUAGUUUCCGAUCCCAGUCGGACUUGGGAUGCCCAUUAUGAUAAGGCCUCAAGUCAGGUUAUGUCAAGUUGGUAUCAGAGCUUUAGGUUCAUGGUUAAUUGGGAGUCAACGAAGCCGUGUUUGGUAGAGUCUCUUUUAGGGGUGUGUAACGCGCCCCAUUCAUAAGAGAGGCUACAAGGCAUUUAGUAAUAGUUUACUUGGUAUUAUAUUUUCAAGCUUAGAGUCUAAGUCCUAGAAUUGCCUCUAAUCCUUGUUUGUUCACUUAUCAGAUCAUGCGUCGUCGAUCUGGAACACAAGGAAAUUUUUCUAUCCCAUUUGGGGUUGAUGUUGAUGAAGUACGCCCUACAUCAGUAGUUGGCACUCGAUCUUAGGGUCCUAUCCCUGAUUGUUCUGGAGUUCCUCCGGUUACUACUAGUCCUCCUUAAGGUGAAGUAAAUAAUGCAGAAUUCCAUCAAUCAAAUCAUACUAUUGCUCAAUUGGUUGUUUUUCAGGCUGAGAGGGAUGUAUCUGGUGUUCUAUCUGCUAAGGCCAUAAGGGUUGGCCAGUUCUUGAAGAUGAAUCCUCCUACUUUUACUAGUUUGAAGGUGAAGGAGGAUCUUCAAGGUUUCUUGAAUGAAAUGGAGAAGAUAUUUAAAGUGAUGUAGGACAUUAACAUAGAAGGGGUGAUUUUGCAGCUUAUCAGCUCAAAGAUAUUGCGUACCAAUGGUACGAGGAGUGGGAUAGGGAUAUAGGUGAGGUUGAGGAGUUGUCUUUGUAAAAGGCCUUUUCUAAUUCCUUUUUAAAUUGGUUUUUUAUCAGGAGUUGAGGGAAGUGAAGAUGGACGAGUUUAUGAAUCUUAAGAGGGAACAAUGUCUUUUAAGGAAUAUGCCUUGAAAUUUCAUCAGCUAUCAAGGUAUGCUUCGUAUUUGAUGGAUGAUGUGAGGGCGAAGAUGAGAAAGUUCACUUUUGGGAUAUCUCAGGAUUUGAUUCUUCAAAGAAAGACUGCUUUGUUGAUUGAGGAUAUGGAUAUUUUGAGGUUGGUUGUGCACAUGCAGCAGGUAGAGGAUGAAAAGAGAAAACAAGCAGAGUUUGGGGAAAGGCAAACUAAGAGGAACUGAGCAGGGUGGUGCUUAGCAGUAGGGUGGUCGAGAUGGCGGAAAAUGGCCAAAAAAGAAGUGGGGGAGUUCAGGUACCUUCUCUACUGCUAGUUCUCCUUACCUGAAGUAGUUGGGUGACAGGCGUCAGUAAGAUGGUGAUAAUUUUCGAGCACAGGGUUCCCAAUCUAAGGUGAGUAAGGUACAAUCGACUUCUUCGUGCCCUCCUUACCAAUUUUGUGGUUUUCUUCAUCAAAAAUUUUGUGAGGAAUGGAGGGACAAAUAUUUUAAAUAUGCCCAGAUAAGCCAUAUGCUCAGAAACUGUCCAGUUGGUAAAGGUGCUUCAGGAGUGGUCAAGGAUCCGAUCGCUUCAUUUUCUGCUCCUGCACCUAGUGGUGCUGCUUUUGCAUCUGCUCCUGCUUCUGGUACCAGCACUGGUCGAAAAGGUUGUAUGCUCUUACAUCUCAGUAGGAAUCUGAGGACAUCUCCUGAUAUCGUGACUGGUGCGUUAUAACUCUUUUCUCGUGACGUGUAUUUUCUACUUGAUCUAGGGUCCACUCUUUUCUAUGUGACCCCAUAUGUGGCUGUGUGUUUUGGUUUUGAUCCCUAGGUUAUUUUAGAUCCUUUUAUUAUUUCUACCCCGAUAGGUAACUCGAUUAUUAUUAAAAGAGUUUAUAGGGGGUGUAUGGUAUCUGUUGGUAGCAAGUAGACCUUAGUUUAUCUGUUUGAGCUGGAUAUGGUCAAUUUUGAUGUUAUUCUGGGGAUGGUUGGUUACACUCCUAUUACACAUACUUAGACUAUAGAUCCCGUAAGGUUGUCUUUAGGUUCCCUGGUGAACUAGUUAUAGAAUGAGAGUGUGGCUCCCUAGCUCCUAAGGGAGGUUUAUUUCUUAUCUUAGAGCUUGGAGAUUAAUCUCCAAAGGGUGUCUUUGUCACUUGGUCUGGGUUAAAGAUUCUAACUUGGAGGGUCCUUCUUUUUACUCGGUUUUGGUGGUAAAUUAGUUUCCUGAGGUUUUUUUGGAUGAUCUUCCUAGUGUUCCUCUAGAUAGGGAAAUCGAGUUUGGUAUUAAUUUGGUUCUGGACACUCGUCGAAUAUCUAUUACUCCUUAUAGAAUGGCUCCGGCUGAGUUAUGGAAACUCAAGGAACAAUUUAAGGAUCUUCUGGAUAAGGAGUUUAUUUGUCCCAGUAAAUCCCCAUGGGUUGCACCGGUGUUGUUCGUGCACAAGAAGGAUAUUUCCCUUCAGAUGUUUAUUCACUAUCGGUAGUUGAAUAAGGUAACGGUCAAGAAAAAGUAUCCUCUUUCAAGGAUAGAUGACUUAUUUGAUCAAUUGCAAGGUGCCAAGUUUUUUUCUAAGAUAGACCUUCGGUCUGGGAAUCAUCAGCUUAAGAUUAUGGAGGAGGGUAUCCCUAAGAUGACUUUUCGUACUAGGUAGGGGCACUUUGAAUUCUUGGUUAUGUCAUUUGGUUUGACUAAUACCCCGGUGGUAUUUAUGGAUUUGAUGAACAGGAUUUUCAUGCAGUUCUUGGGUCUUUUCUUACUGUGUUCAUUGAUGACAUCUUGGUGUAUUCUAAGAGUAAUAUGGAUCAUGCUAAUUAACUCCGGGUUAUGUUGCAAACCUUGAGGGAACAACAAUUGUAUGCCACGUUCUCUAAGUUUGAGUUUUGGUUAAACAUUGUAACUUUCUUAGGUCACAUUAUUUCUAAUAAGAGGAUCAUGGUGGAUCCUCAAAAGGUUGCGGUAUUGAAAAGGUGGCCUAGACCCAUGACUCCAACUGGUAUUCAGAGCUUCUUGGGUUUGGCUAGGUAUUAUAGGCUAUUUGUGGAAAGCUUUUCCUCGAUAGCUUCUCCUUUGACUAAGUUAACUCAGAAGAAAGAAAAAUUCUCUUGGUUGGAAGCGUGUGAAGGGAGUUUUGAGAAGCUUAAGGAUAAGCUAACUUCAGCUCUGAUUUUGACAUUGCCUGAAAGUAAUGAGGGGUUUAUGGUUUAUUUUGAUGCAUCCAGGGUAGGACUUGGCUGUGUUCUAAUGCAGCAGAGGAAGAUGAUUUCCUAUGCUUCCAGGUAGUUGAAGGUGCAUGAGAUGAAUUAUCCUACUCAUGAUUUGGAGCUGUUGGAUGUGGUUUUUGCUUUGAAGAUAUAGCGGCAUUAUUUGUAUGGAGUGCACGUAGACAUUUUUUCUAAUCAUAAGAGUCUGUAGUAGGUGUUCACUCAGAAGGAGCUAAAUCUCAGGCAAAGGAGAUGGUUAGAGCUUCUCAAGGACUAUGAUAUGACUUUUCACUAUCAUCCAGGUAAGGCUAAUGUUGUUACUGAUGCUCUUAGCAGUUUAUCCAUGGGGAUUUUAUCUCAUAUGGAUAAGGAGAAGUGGGAAUUGGUGAUGGAUAUUCACCGUUUGGCUAAUAUUGGAGUUCGCCACUUGGAAUUAGAGGAUAGUAGUGUGUUGGUACAGAAAGCAGUUAGAUCAUCUCUCAGUGUAGAGAUUAAGGAGAAGCAAGUGCUAGAUCCUAUCUUGAUGAAAAUCAAGAAUGAUGUUGGUGGGCAAAAGAUAAUAGUAUACGAGAUCAGUGGUGAUGGUAAUUUAUGCUACCAAGGGAGGUUGUGUGUUUCUAAUGUCGAUGGGUUGCGACUAAGGAUUUUUUCUAAGGCGUAUGAUCCACGCUAUGUUGUUCACCCAGGUUCUACGAAGAUGUAUCAUAAUCUCAAAGAGGUAUAUUAGUGGAAUGGUAUGAAAAAGGAUGUGGUUGAUCUUGGAGCCAAGUGCAUAGUGUGUCAACAAGUUAAAGUUAAACACAUGAGACCUGGAGGGUUGUAUUAAGAAAUUAACUUGCCCGAGUGGAAAUAGGAGGCGAUCAAUAUGGAUUUCGCUCUGGUCUUUCUUGGUUGUAGAACCAAUUCGAUUUGAUUUGGGUCAUUGUGGAUAAGAUGAUGAAGUCUGCUCACUUCUUGCUAGUGAGGAUAACUUUUUUGGUGAAAGAUUAUGUGAAGUUGUAUCUUCAGGAGGUUAUGAAGCUGCAUGGGGUACCUGUUCCGAUUAUCUCUGAUCGUGGAACACAGUUUUCAUCUCAUUUUUAGAGGUCUUUUUCAAAAAUGAUUGGGUACUAACGUGAGUCUGAGUACUGCUUUUCUUCCUCGGUCGGAUGGGCAUAUGAAAAGGACUAUUAAGACAUUAGAGGAUAUUCUUCAGGCAUAUGUGAUUGAUUAUGGUGGAAAUUGGGUUGAGCAUCUACCUUUGGUAGAGUUUUCUUACAACAAUAGCUAUCAUUAUAGUAUUAGUAUGGCCUCUUUUGAGGCAUUGUAUGGUAGGAGGUGUAGAUCUCCUAUUGGAUGGUUUGAGCUUGGUGAGGCAGACAUGUUUGGUCUGAAUUUGGUUUAUUAGGGUAUAGAAAAGGUGAAGGGAGUUUGAGGUUUCAGAUAAGGUGUUCUUAAAGGUAUCUCCCAUGAAGGAAGUAAUGCAGUUUGGAAAGAAAAGGAAUCUCAGUCCCCAAUUUAUUGGUCCUUCUGCAAUUUUACGAAAGGUUGGUAAUGUUGCUUAUAUGUCUCCAUGUUGUGGACAUGUCUUGGUGAUCCUUGUUCGGUUGUUUGCUUGGAGGGCUUGGGUAUCUUGGAUUCUCUAUCUUAUCAAGGGAUUCCGAUUGAGAUCUUGGAUAGACAGGUUCGUCGGUUAUGAACCAAGGAUGUGGCCUCGGUUAAGGCUCUAUGGCGAAACCAUAAGGUGGAAUAGGGUACAUGAGAAGUGGAGGAGGACAUAAGGUCCAAGUAUCCUUAUCUAUUUUUUGCUCUUGGGAUUCAUGCGGAAGGUAUGUGUUCUUGAAUACAUCUUUAUUUUUUGAGUUUGUUAAAGGAAAUAUUAAUAUCUUUUCAUCUGUGUUUUCCUAACUUGAUUAAAGGUUGGAAUAAUAUUUGAUAAUAUAAAUAAAUCGUGCUUGUGGUUGCCCUACCUUGUCCGUCAUUUGGGGAUGAAUAUUUCUAGUGAGGGAGACUAAAACCCCCUGGGUUUUUGGUCCUUAGAAAUUUUUUUGGAUUUCUAGUCUCUUGACAGGAUACGACUAGGGAAAACGACUCGUUACUAGGAUAUGAGUGGUAUGGGUUAGUCGUAUGCUGACCAGUGUUGGUUGGUGAGUGGGAUUUAAUUUCUGAAAUGGAUACGACUUGGGUGGUACAAGUCGUAACGAUGGAUAUGGGUUGUUUGGUUACUCUACUUUGUCUUAUAGUAACUUAAGUUGGAUCUGAGUAUGAGUGGAUCCCCAAGAGUCGUAAGCUAGGGUACAAGUCAUACCUUGAACUCGUAUGGUGGAAAGUGUUCAAUCUUCUUGGGAUUCUAUUCUACCAGGGGUACGGAUCAGGGGUACUAUUUGUAUACUUGGGUAUGACAUAGAUUGCAGUGAGUCAUACCUUGGACAGUGUUGGGUCCAAGGGAGAAGACAUUGGGUACGAGUGGUGGGUACCACUCAUAUUGGAGGGUAUGACAGGUAUGGAUAGUCUAUGACAGGUAUGGAUAGUCUUACCCACCUGAUGGGAUUUUUGGGAGUUUAAGUGAGGGAAAUAUGGAUAUUUCUCCAUGUAACCUAAUAAGUAUCCAUGACUUAUAUUCCUAUUGGGAGGUUAUUUACCCUAUUUUUCUAUUUAUUAACACUUAGAAACUUCUCCUAAACACUCUACAAUUCUCUCUAAGGCUCUUGGGUAAAAGAAGGCUAGGGUUUCAUCUUAAGGAUUAAUUUGGGGAUUUUGUUGGUGAUUUAUCUCCAUCAUAUCCUUAAUUUAAGGUAUGUUCGAAUUCCCUAAGUUAACUUGGUAAAUGAGUACACGGGAAUCUCUUUACCUUAAAAGGUUUGGUGAAGGAUAAUACUGACAAGUUAUAGUCGGUACGAUACCACUAUUGAUAGCCUUGGUUAAUAAUAAAUGGAAUAAUAGAUUGGCUGGUUGGAAAUGGUUUUAAUUGGGAAAUAAUGGCGGGGUGUAAUAGCAAAUCAUGAAGGUGGGAGUUCAAUGAACGAACACUGGAAACUCAUCAUGUUUGCCGAGAUGAGAGGUAGGGCAUGGCGACCCUUUUAUGAUACUAUGAGGUACGCGAGAAUUCUCAAAGUACAUUGUACAUAAGUAUUAUCGAGGGUGAGGGUACUUGGGAAUCCCUUACUCUUAUAGUAUCUCCAGUUCGUGUGGCUACACGCAUCAGUGCUCAUUCAGGGGGUUACUUUGGACCUAUAUUGUCGUGGGUGGUUAAGGACGGUUAAGCUUCACAUACCUAGGUUAAUUUUUUAAAUGCAUGCUAAACCCGGUUCCCUUUCCUGGCAUGGUUAUAUAUAUAAAUGUAUGGUUUGUAUGCAUAUGGUUUGUUUACUUGGUUUUAUUGGUUGUCAUUAUUUUAUCCUUAUAUUGAGUUUAUCCUAGCGUUCACCCACUAACCCGUCUUUCGGUGGCUAUAUCCCCACCCAAUGAAGGAACCAUCCAUUUUACUCCUCCUGCUUAACUAUCAGACAUUCAGGAUCAACUACUGGAUUAAAGUGGUGAGCUUCUAUCUUUUUGGUAGGCUUUAUUUUAUGGAUGUUAUUUUAUACUUUGGUUUAUUAAUGGAUAUUGGUUUUUGCUAUGGUUGGGGGCAUGCCCUAAUUGAAUUUUGGUAUUCUUUUGGUUAGAGGCUUUUAUGGAACUACUAUGGGUUGGUAUGGGCGAGAUCGGUAUUGGUGUCAACCUUGGUAUUGGAUUGGAAUUGGGGCUGAUAUCGAAGGACUACAUUUCUCAUUGUUCCAUCUUCUUUUAUUUGGGGAUUAUAUAUAACUAUUAUAGAACUCAUAUGGUUAUGGUUUAUGGUCUGGUUUGGCUAUUGGUCGAGUUCAAAUGGUUGCACUCGGUUGGGUCGGUCUUGGUAGUAGAUCUAUCCUAAAGUUUGUAAUUGGGAUAGUUUGCUAUCUAGUUAUAUGCUAAAAAUUCAGCUAACUCAGGGCAGACAACUGAAGGUUGGGUUGGGUAACGGGGGUGGUCUCUAGUCCCGGUCGGAUGAUACCAAUGGGAUUCCUUUGGUAAGUAAUUGGAUUAAUGGUUGUGUAUGUGAAAUAAAAUUAGGAUUUAAAGCGGGAUGUGUAGUCGGGUCGUGAUAGUGGAGUCCUAAGGACUAACACUAGAACCUUCGCUAGCUGGUACGGUGUCUAUAUGACCGGGAGGUUUGAGUCCCCCAAAUGAAUAUAUGAAUGGGAGGUUUGAGCCCCCCAUAUUGUAUACAUUGGUACCUAAGUCACCUUGAUUAUGCCAGGAGGUUCGAGUCCCCCAUAAAGGUAUAUACAGAUAUGGUUAAUCUCUGGUCCAUGCGACUACACACACUGGAGCCCUUCUAUCUAGGAAAGAUCUGGGACCAUCUAACCUGUUGGUACCUUGUUAUAUGACGUUUAUUCUACACAACCCAGGUUAAGGUUUUCAAAGUUAAUGCUAAGCCUUGUUCUCUACCCUGUCAUAUCAUAUUACAUACAUGUAUAUGCAUUUUAUAUGAUAUUAUGCUUUAGAUGUUGCACUAGUUUUGAAUUGUUAUCGUGGCAUUAUUUUGUUCCUCUAUCCCUAAGUUACAUGCAAGCGCUCCAACCACUAAUCAUCUAUGGACACUGUAUCCCCACGCGAUGCAGGCACCAAAACUUUUAUACUUUUCCUGUGCAGUGAUCAAGUGCUUGAGAUAGUUCAUGAGUUGACGUUAAAGUGGUGAGCUUCCAUACUUUGGAAGGCUUCAUUUCAUGGUCCUUAUUUCUAAUAUCUUAGACCUUGUUUAGACUUUUUUUGGCUACUUUUGGGGGCAUGUCCCGACAUUUUAUUGAUUUUGGUUUUAUGGAGGCUUUGUUGGACUACUGUGGACUUGGGUGGUUUGGUUGGUUGUUUGGUGACAGAUUGUUUUUUGGUUGUCGGUGAUUAGUAUAGACUUAUCAUGAAUUGUUAUUAGUUUUAUUCUACGCUAUCUUAUUAUAUGUUCGAAAUUCAUUAGACACUUAUAGAUGUUGUGCUAGUUAGACUAGAUGAAGGGGGUGAUCUCCAAUCCACUUAGGACUUGAGAUACCCGUCAGGGCCAGCCCUAGUUUGGGUUGUGACAAGGGUCUAUGGAUCAGCCCUAUUUAAGAGGAGUUCUAGGAGACUCUCCCUGAGCCUCGAGUUGGCUACUUCUUAGAUGGUUAUAUUUGGAGCAUUUUUGUAGAGCAUUGUGGAUCAUGUCAUAAUGACAGAGGCUAUUCUUAGAAUCUCAGGAAGGCACCAAGAAGGUGUACCAUUUUGGUAAGUUCAGAGGUCAGGUUUCUCUCGGUAGAGAUUUUUGAGGUUUUUAUGGUUAUCAGGGUAUGCUAGUGCAUACGGUGUUCUAUAGUUCAGAUGGUGGAUCUUUGGGUUGAGGAUUACAGGGUGUUCAUUCAGACCCAUUGGUUCCUUCUCCUAUUGAGGCAGAUCAUUGGACUUGUUAUGUAUGUCGUGAAGUUAGUCAUUUGGCCAAGAAUAGCCCUCACCAUUUGAUUAGGUCUACUCCUAUUUCAGUAGUGAGAGGUAAGGGUACAACCAGAGAAGUGAAAAGUAGAGGUGGUGGAGACCGCAGUGGUGAUCAUGGGGCUUCUCAACCAGUUAGUGGUCAUGAUUAGUGUUAUUCUAUACCUUCCAAGCCUAAGGCGAAGGCUUCUGAUGCUGUUAUCAUAAGUAUCGUCCCCAUUUAUUUUAGAUAUACAUUUGUGUUAUUUAACCCUGAUUGGACUUUCUCCUAUGUGUCUGCAUAUUUUGUUUUGGGUUUUGAUUUUGUUAGUAAGCCUCUUGCCAUGCCUAUUUGUGCUUCUACCCUGAUAGGAGAUUUUUUAGUAGUGGAUCGAGUAUACUAAUCUUGUGUUGUGAAUUUUUGUGGCCAUGAGACUUGGGUAGAUUUGAUCGUGUUAGAUAAGGUUGAUUUUGAUGUUAUUUUGGGUAUGGAUUGGUUGGCACCUUAUUAUACUAUCUUAGAUUAUUUUUCUAAGACUGUGACUUUAGCUUUAUUGGACGUGCCCUAUAUAUAUUGGAAGGGCGUGCUUCAUUCAGAUCCUAAGGGGGCAAUAUCUUAUGUUCAAGUUCAUAGAUUGGUUAAGAGGGAUGUUUAUCUUAUUGGCUCAUAUUCAUGAUACUAGUGUUGUUUCACCUCCUACCUUAGAUUCUGUUUGUUUUGUCCAUGAGUUUGUGGAUAUGUUUCCUUACGGAUGUGCCUAGUAUACUUUCGAAUUAUGAUAUUGAUUUUUCUAUUGAUUUUGAGUUGGGCACCAAGCCCAUGUCUAUUUCUCCUAAUAGGAUGUCCCCAACCAAGUUGAAGAAAUUGAAGGAUCAGUUGCAGGAAUUGUUGGAUAAGGGAUUUAUUCAACCUAGUAUAUCGCUUUGGGGUGCGCCUGUCUUGUUUGUGAAAAGGAAAGAUGGGCCUAUGUAUAUAUUUAUUGAUUAUCGUCAGUUAAACAAGGUGAUGGUUAAGAAUAAGUAUCCUCUUCAUUGUAAAAAGGAUUUGCUUGAUCAACUUUGGGUGUUGUGGUGUUUUUAAAGAUUGAUUUGAGAUCUGGUUAUCACCAGUUAAGGAUUAGAGCUUUGGAUAUUCUGAAGAUAGGUUUUUGGACUUAAUAUGGUCAUUAUGAGUUCUAGGUCAUGUCCUUUGGGUUGACCAAUGCCCCUAACGCAUUUAUGGAGUUGAUGAACCAGUGUUUCAAUCAUAUCUCGACUCCUUUUUAUUGUAUUUAUAGAUGAUAUCUUGGUUUAUUCCAAGAUUGAGGUUAAGCGUGAGGAUCAUUUGCAAAUUGUGCUUCAAAGAUUGAGGGAUAAGAAGUUGUAUGCUAAGUUCUCUAAGUGUGAUUUCUGGUUGGAGUCUAUUUUUUUCUUGGGUCAUGUGGUGAUUAAUGAUGGUAUUAUGAUUGAUCCAGCCAAGGUUGCAAUGGUUAGUGAUUGGGAGAGACCUACUUUGCGCACUGAGUUUUAUUGGCUUGGCAGGUUAUUAUCGGCGUUUUGUUAAGGGUUUCUCAUCUAUUGUAGCUUUGUUGACCAAGUUGAUUCAGAAUAAUAUUUGUUUCCAAUGGUCUGAUGCUUAUGAGGCGAGCUUUCAAAAACUCAAGGAUUUAUUGACUUUAGCUCUUAUUUUAGCUUUUCUCACGGAGGGUGUGGGUUUUACCAUCUUUUGUGAUGCUUCAGGUGUUGGGUUAGGUGUUGUGUUGAUGCAGGAGGGUAAGGUGAUUUCCUGUACUUCUCAUCAGUUAAAGCCCCAUAGGAAGAAUUAUCUUACUAUGAUUUAGAGUUAUGUGCAGUUGUUUUGGCUUUGAAGAUGUCAAGCCAAUACUUGUAUGGAGUCAGUUAUGAGAUUUUCUCAGAUCAUCAUAGCCUUUAGUACUUCUUUACCAAGCUAGAUCAUAAUAUGAGGCUACACUGUUGGCUUGAGUUGCUUAAGGACUAUGACUUGACUAUUCUCUAUCAUCUGAGCAUGGCUAAUGCGAUUGUGGAUGCCUUGAUUCGAAAGUCAACUAGCAUGGGUAGCUUGGCGCAUCUUUUGACCCAGGAGUGUCCUUUGGCCUUGGAGGUUCAGUCUUUAGCUAAACAGAUGGUUAGGCUUGAUAUUUUGACACCUGAAUGUGUUUUGGCAUUUGUGGAGGCUAGAUCUUCUUGAUAGAGCAGAUUCAAGCUCAUCAGUUUAGUGAUGCGGGUUUGAGGUAAAUUUGAGAUAAAGUGUUGAGUGGUGAGGCUAAGGAAGCCUUACUAGAUUCGGAUGGUAUUUAGAGAAUUGGUGGUCGAGUUAGUAUGCCGUGAAUAGGUGAUUGGAUUAGAUUGAUUUUGGAGGAGGUACACUGUUCCAGAUAUUCUAUCCAUCCCGAUAUAACUAAGAUCUAUCAUGAUUUGAGGCAAUAUUACUGGUUGGGUGGUAUAAGGAAGGAUGUAGCAGACAUUGUAGCUCUCUACCUUUGUUGUCAGCCGGUAGAGGUUGAGCAUAUGAGUCCUGGAGGUUUGCUUCAAAGGUUACCCAUUCCUGAGUGGAAGUGGGAAUGGAUCACUAUGGACUUCCUGACUGGGUUACCUCAACUUUUUAUGGAUCAGAUAGUAUUUGGGUUGUGGAUCAAUUGACCAAGUUAGCCCAUUUCAUUCCAAUUCAGGUUUUCUUCAGUGCCGAGAGGUUGUCUCAUAUUUAUAUUUGAGAUAUUGUGCGACUACAUGGUGUGUCCGUAUCUAUUAUUUUAGAUCUAGGUUCUGUGUUUACUUCUCACUUUUGGAAGACCUUUUAGGAUGAGUUGGGCACACGGGUUGAUCUUAGCAUAAUAUUUCACCCCCAGAUUGAUGGUUAGUCAGAACGGACUAUCCAUGUUUUAGAGGAUAUGCUCCAUGCUUAUGUAAUGGAUUUUAAUGGCCAGUGGGAGCAACAUUUAGAUUUAGCAGAGUUUGCUUAUAGUAACAACUACCAUUCCAGUAUCAACAUGGCUCCUUUUGAGGCAUUGUAUGGUAGGACUUGUCGCUCGCUAGUAGGUUAGUUUGAUGUUUCUGAGGUUAGACCUUGAAGUACGAAAUUUCUUCGUCAGCUUUUGGUUAGAUUUUGGGUCAUUCAUGAUAGACUUCGAGUGGUACAGUGUAGGCAUAGGUGCUAUGCAAAUUAUAGACUUCAUACCUUGAGAUUUGGUGUUGGUGACUGUGUUUUCCUUCAAGAUUCAUCCAUGAAGGGUGUGAUGAGGUUUAGGAAAAGGGGCAAGCUUAGCCCCAGGUAUAUUGGUCCAUUUGAGAUUCUUCAGACUAUUGGUAAUGUGGCCUAUGAAUUAACUUUUCCCCAAGGUUUAUCGGUUGUUCAUCCAGUUUUUUAUGUUUCUAUGCUUUGCUGUUACGUUCCUAAUGAGUCUCAUGUCAUUUGUUGGGAGUCGGUUAAGUUAGAUAAGCGGUUGUCUUUUGUUGAGGAGCUGGUCUCCAUUUUGGCUAAGGAUGUUAGAUGGUUGCGCUCUAGAGUUAUCUUGUAGUUAAGGUUCACUGGCGACCUCGACCUGUAGAUGAGUCUACUUGGGGUAGUUUCUGAUAUGCAUAGUUCUUUGAUCUGAGGUGGAUUUAUGCACCUCAGUGUUGAUAUCCGGGCUUAUUUAGCCUUAUUUUGAGGAAUUCUCUUGUGCUUAAUGAGUAAAUCUUUGUAUAAUCGAGAAUAUAAGUGUUAAACUACUUUAUUACUCCCUCAAUUUUAAAAAGAAUGACCUACUUUCCUUUUUAGUUCGUUUAAAAAAGAAUGACCCCUUUCUUUUUUUGACAAUAUUUUAAUUUCAACUUUCCAUAUGUCAUGUUUAGGACCACAAGAUUAAAUACCAUUUUGGUACUUUUGCCACAACUUUAAUUUAAGGCCACAAGAUUCAAAAGUCUUCUUUAUUUUCUUAAACUUUGUGCCAAGUCAAACUAGGUCAUUCUUUUUGAAACGGAGGGAGUACAAUGUUUAAGGUGUGUUUCAAACAAGUUUGGUAUCAAUUUGGUCACUUAGAGUUUAGACGAGAAAACUAGUGUUACUAGCUUAGCUAGGUAUUGUUUUAGUUGAUUUCCAUGGAUUCUAGUGUGUGCAAUGAGUUAAUAAGGGUGCAAUGAGUUAAUAAGGGUAUGAUUGUGUAAUGAUGUAAUAAGUUGUUUAUAGUGUUUAAGAUUCAAUUGAAACAAGCCAAGAGAUAAAACAAUUAGUUAAAGAUCAAAAGGACAAAACUAGUAUUCUUAGCUUAAGUUUCUAGUUCAUCAUCUUGGAUUGUAUGUGGUUUUGAGCUCUAAUACAUGGUGUUUGAUGAUAUAAGAUGCUUGGUGAGUUUAUCAUGAUAAUAUAUGGAUGAUACACAAUCUGAAAAUCAAGUGAAAACAAUACCACAAGGCUUGUAAUGGAUGGAUAAAAGCACGAGAUAAGACUUGAUAAAAAUGGACGUUUUGGGGUCAUUAGCGUGCCACGAACCUUAGCCACCACAUUAGGGUCUGUUACACUCCCUUGAGGGCAUCAUAAAUGACCAAUUCCAGUGUUUAACUAUGCUAUUGGUGUUCCACGGACACUAGGCACCGCGAUAAGGUCCGUGGCACGUUGGUAAGUUCAAAUCGGCAGCUUGUGUCCUCCUAUAAAUUGGACCCUUAAACCAUUAUGUUUCACACCUUGGACGACCUUGAAACUUUGUAGGAGGCUGGAGAACACUUCAAUUAGAGUUUUUAUUCCUUUACUUUGGUUUGUUUAUGGAUUUUAACAUGUAUUCAAUCAUUUUGAUUACGAUUAUGUCCAUGAGAGGCUAAACACCCUUUUUCGGGGUUAAGGCCAAGAACAUGAUUAUUCUUGUUAUUAAUUGAUUUAGUUUUGAUUAUUUAUCAUAUUUGAUUAUUUAUUUAUCCUUGUUUUUUCUAAUUUAAGCAUUAGAUACUUUUAGAAUACAUCUAUUGUCAUUUUAUGAGCCCGAAAGAAGGAAUAAGAGGAUAGAACAUGGGGGUAAAUAGAAUAGGAUUGUAAUAUUCUACAAAAUGAAUUUAUAAUUUUCAUUUAGGAUAGGAAUGUACCUAAGUUACCUAUUUGGUUUAGUUACAGGAUGAAAUAUAAAUGCAUUUGACUUAGCUCUCAUAUCCUCGCUCAAUGAUGUAGUUGUGGGUCUAAGUUAGAUAAGUGAUUAGAGGCUCGAAAGACCAUGAUCAUAAUAUCAACCCUGUAAAUCAACAACCAAGAUAAGUAACCUAACCAAUAAAGUUCAAUAGCAAAGUAUGAUUGUUCUCAGAGCCUUAACCCUGGGUUUCUCCCCAUUGAUUGUCCAAGACCUUUAAUUUAUAGCUUUAUUUUAGUUUACAUUUAGUUAUAACUCUCAAACUCUCGUGGUUAUGUUUGCACUAAUUUAAUCUCAAUACUGAACUAGAUUUGGAUAGUUGUCAACACAAGUCCCUAUGGGUCGAUACUUAGCUUUUUUGAGGCCACUAUAUUACUUGGUGAGCCACUUUCACUUGCGUGUGCGCUUGGGCUCAAAAUUCUUACCCCCAGCUUUUCAUUGAUUCAGGUAUUUCUGUGUGAUUUACUAUUUUAUCCCUCCUCGUAGUUGCAUUGUAGUAUUUUGGAAUGUGGGAAUGAUUGACACGAUUCUUGAUGCAUUUUCUUGUCUUUUGUGUGAUAUUGUGGUUUUUGAAGGCUUUAAAAGUCUUAAAAUGGACCUAUGUUGUUAUCUUUUGAUGUGUGUGAUAGAUGACUGAACAAAUUAUGCCAGCAGAUCUGAAAUGUCGAUUUUAGGGUGGUAACAUAUUUAGUUGGGUUUUAUAGCUUAUGAAUUUCAUUUCGACCCUUGAUUUAGAAAAUUGUGAUUUUGGGUUUCAGGCGUCAACUCUAUGAAAAUAAUGUUUUUUCAAAAAUAUGAUAUCUGUAUUGAGUCUAGAACAUUGAAUUUAGUAUGGUUACAUUAUUUGUUUACGUAUAUCAGAUUCCAGACGAAUCUCAAGCGCCCCGUUGAAAUUCGUUUUGGACUUAAAAAAUUUGGUACACCAGGUUGUUAGUUCAAUCUGGACAACAAAGGGUAAAACUUAUUUGAGAAGCCCAAUUUAUGCCUUAUUUACCUGGCAACCUGGUACAAGUAUAAAUAUCUCCAUUUUACCCUAUUUUCACUCAUUUUUCAUCCUUUCUCUUAAGAACUAAACCCUAAAAUAGUAUGAGAGUGUAAUGACACUUCAGGUUAUUUUUUGUAUUUCCAGUUAUUUUUCUUUAGUUCGUUUGGUUCUUAGAGCCAAUUUCCUGUUUAGAAGUCUUCGUUGGUUUCAAAUGGCCACCGAGCAAAAAACUCAGUAAAAUAAUCUCAGAUGCAAAUUUUGAUUGUGCCAGCAACUCUAGAAUAUUGAUUUUAGGCCAGGUAGACCUUUUGUUCGAAUCCUAAUGCACCCGAGCUUAUUUUGACCUAUUGGUUAGAAAGUUGGUGAAUCGAGAAUUUUGGUGUGGGUCCAAUAUUUAGUCGAAAUAAUAUCAGAUAGAAAAUUCAACUUUACCAAUACCUCCGAAAUGUCAAAAAUAGUGUGUUACACAACUCAUUUGUUAUAUCGGAUCCUGAAUGAAUCUUGAGGAAUUGGUUGAAACAUGGAAGAAUUUUCAAGUUUUAGCUGAUAUCUGGUAUAUUAGGGAGAUUUCGUGAUCAUACAGCUAUGAAUAGUGACCGCCCUAUGGCGACCAUGAUCCAGGAAUGGCGAUAGCCAUACCUCAUUACCUGGUAUGACUAUAAAAAGGCCCUUUAGGCCGUAUUUUGGGAAUUUCCCACUCAUCAUUGAGACAAGGAACCCUAAAAUGGUAUGUCAACCUUCAAUUAAGUCUUAGAAGUGUCUUUGGAGCUUAGUUAACAUAUAUUUUCAUGAUUAACAACAAAUUUGAUAUAUGAAUCCUUCCAUUUCAUGCUUGAAUUUCUUGAAAAAAAUCCCAAAUAGCUUAAGGGUUUGAUUUAGCCCCAAAUAAACUUGGUUUUCACCUAUUUCUUGAGGGUUACAAUUUCUUGAGGUGUAUGGACUUAGGUUGACCUAAAAAAUGUGUUUUUCAUAAGUGGGACCCACUUAGGGGUUUUGGUGUCAUUUUUGGACCCAAAGUAUAAUAGUAUAAUAUGGGUAUCGAUGUUCCUUUUAUAAUGUGUAGAUUGUAUUUUGAUAGCGUGGCACCUUGAAAAAGCUUCUCGAAAGGAAAAAGCAAAGGUUUAGCGGAUUGUUGAGCUUUCUUCGACAUCGAGGUAUGCUAGGUUUAUUCCUUGUUAGAUUGAGCUAUGUCAUAGUAUAUUUGUGAUAUAUUGUUAGAUUGAAAUGGGUUUUAGGUGUAGGUUUGAUGAAGUGCAAGACUCGGGAUUAGUUGGGCCAUUUGGGCCACUUUUAAAUCAUAGGCUUGAAAUACUUAACGUAUUUUCCUUAUGCCUUAGUUGAAUUGGGCUUCAUUGCUCAUGUCUAGCAUGAGAAUCCCUUGGACCACUUAAAUUAGAUAAAAUGACUUAGACACCCAUGCUUAGAGUAAGUUGGCCUUAGUUGCUUAUACUAAAGAAGGUUGCCUUAGUUCCAUUGGACUUGGCAAAAGUGUUUGAGUAGAGUAUCUACCUCAGGGAUUAUGGUGGCUUGCUAUACAUCUAAGAGUUGAUUUAGAUACCUUAGCCUAGUACGGGGUAGAAAUUAACUUAAAAUGCAUUUUAGGGAUUUAAAAGUUGGCUCGCUGACCCAUCUUAAGGCAAGACUUAUGAUUAGUUCUCUUGAACCCUUACGCUUAGUAAUUGAAUAGAGAGUGCCCCUUUGGAGGCACUAUUGAUGACUCUUGGUACUGUUAGGUACGAGGAAUGACAUUGAGAGUAAUGCCAAAGUGACUAUGCUCUUAUAUGUUUUAUUGGCUAAAGCUUAUGUCGAGCUAUUAAUUAUGUUAUUGUGAUUGAAUAUUGUUUGGGCUAAGGAACAUGGUACUGAAUGAUCCCUUGACAAUAAUAUGGCCUAAGCCAUAAAUAAUGUUAUGAACCAUACUAUGAACAAAAUAUAGAUUAUUUCUUGGUUUAGCCAUUGCUCAUACUAUUGAUAAAUUAUCUUUAGGUCAAUGAUAGGCCAAUGAAUAUGAUACUAAUGGGCCAUUGUUCAUGAUAUCGCUUAUGGUUAUGUUCAUGUUUUAAAUGGCUAGAUUAUUGAUUAUGUAAUGAUAAGUCCUUGAAUAAACUCUUGAUUAAGCCAUGUAUACAUCAUCGAUUAAGAUAUUGAUUAGGCUAGUGUUUGGGCCGUUAACUAUUCUAUUGCCCAUGUUAUGUUCAUGCUUAGUAAUUAUGCUAAUAAAUUAUAUUGAAAAUCUUUCUUAUUGUCGACAUCGGAAACAAUGAUGUUAAUGGGGCUAGAAGACACGUUUAUUGACUAUAUGUAAGAUAUUCUACAGACUAUCCUUAGACUCAUGAUACUUCUUUAUAUGAUUAGUUACGCUAAUUCUUUUGCCACUUAUUGUACAUAUCUAUAUACCCAUCUCUCUGGUAUGGGAUGGAGAAGGAUAUUGGUAUUGAAGAUUUAAGUUUCAAGGGAAAACUCAAUGAUAGUUUAUAAUAUUCAUGUUAUAUAUAUAUAUAUAUAUAUAUAGAUAAAGUAUCACUGAUGAUGAACGUUGGAUUGUGGUGGUAUGCUCUUCUUCGUUUCUCUUUUAUAUUUUUUUACUUUAGCCCUCGUGGGGCUUGUCAUUUACUUUUGCUCUUGUGAGGGUUGUUAUUUACUCUAGCCCUCGUGAGGCUUCUCCUUUAUAGAUGAUAUUAAUUUGUAUAUUGUGAUGAUAUAUUAGUACCCAGCAAGGCCGAGGGAUAUUUAACGAUAUGUUGAUACCCGGCAAGGUCGGAGGAUAUUAUGAUGAUAUGAUGAUAGCCGGCGCGAUCGGACGAUAUUGUGAUGAUAUAAUAAUACCCAGCGAGGUUAGAGGAUAAUGUGAUGAUAUGAUGAUACCUAGUGUGUCCGGAUGAUAUUGUGAUGAUAUGAUAAUACCCGACAAGGCAGAAGGAUAUUAUGAUGAUAUGAUAAUACCUAAUAGAGUCGAAUGAUAUUGUGACGAUAUGAUUAUUCCUAGUAAGGUCGGAGGAUAUUAUGAUGUUAUAUUAAUACCUGGUAAUGUAAAAUGAUACUAUGAUGAUAUGAUCAUACUUGGUAAGUCCAGAGGAUGCUAUGAUGAUUUGACGAUACCCGACAAGACCAGAGAAUGAUUAUUGAUGUGCCUGUGUGUACAUCUACCGGUUUAAUCCCCGCUAUCCCUAUUUAUGGAAAUUAUAUACUCACUUAUGCUCUUGUGUACUUGGGUAUAACAUUGUUAUUAGAGAUGUCGGUUAUAGUCUUCUAAUCAAUUAAGGUAUAGAGUUGUAUAGAUAUUGACUUAAGGUUGAAAAAAUGAUUAGUGGUGGAUAUUGCUUAAGUGGCUAAUAGUGACUAAUGUAUUAGUGAGCCUUAGUGAUAAUUAUUUCAUUAUGGAGAUUAGUGAUAAUGGGUUUAGUUAAGUUGAUGAUUAGGUUCUAUUAAUGACUAAGUCUAUGAUGUUGAUUAGAUGUUAAAUGGGGAUUUAUGGAUUAAUGAUACUAGUUAAUAAAAGAUGUUAGUUGAUAGAUGAAUAGUGAAUAAAUGGUGAUUAGCAUCCAUUUGAUAAAUUAUGACUAGUGGAAUUAUGAUUGCUAAAAAUAAAUAUAAGUUAAUUGAUGGAUAUGGUCUAGUGCUAAAUCUUGGCUAGACGUUAGAUAGUGGCUAGUUAAUGAACAAUGGUUAGUUGAUGACCCAUGAAUAGUGUUUAUAUGAUGAAUAGUGGAUAGAUAAAAAAUAGAGAUCUUAUGAUGCCUAGCAAGUAAUUGGUUUAGUAUAAGCGUUGGCUAGCUAAUAAUGGGUGAAUAGGGUAUACUGAUGAUAUAGAUUCUUGAAUGAUGUUAUGGUUACGGUUAUGAGUAUAUUAGUAUAUGUUAUUCAACUAUGAUUAUUGAUGAUAAUUAUGAGUGUUGGAAAAAGGUCGAUUGAUGAAAAUUGUGGAAAACUAUGGAAUAAUGAGGAAGUCUGGAUAUAUUAUUGGCUUGGUUCCAUUAUAUUUCUCUUUGGUAUACUCUCCGGUGGUAUGAGACUCCUUGAUGAGUUCUUUACUUUGUGCACCAGUUGGCAUAUGGGAGUCAACUUUGUACUUAUGAAUGAUUGUGUUGAUGUUUGUGAUGUGUUAUGAUUCUGGAUCAUUUAUUUCUUAUGUUUGGCGAUAUUGGUAUGCGUUGAUGCCUUAUGUUAUAUUGUUAUUCUGAUAUGAUCGUUUAUUAUGCACAGUGAUGAUGGAGAUAAUUUAGGUUCGAUUUUGUAUCUUGACUUAGUUAUGAUUAUCUUCCACUUUAUCAUUCCUAUAUCAUGAUUUGGCUCAGUCGGCCAAUGAUGCCUACUGAGUACCUGUUGUUUUGGUACUCAUACUACACUUUUGUACCAUCUUAGGGCAAAUUCGAGUAUUAACCGCCACCGUUGAUCAUGGUUCAUGCGGUGAUUGAUUUUUGGAGAUAGGGUGAGCUCUUGGAGUUUGAGUCACUGAAUUUUCUUCUAUCUUUUGUAUACAGUCUUUACUAUUUGAGACAGAUGUACUUUAGACUGGUUACAACAAGGAAGGGUACAACUCAUAAGCUGAGGAUAUGAGUGACGAUCGAGUAGUACCGA
Molecule: long non-coding RNA, 27389 nt
Filed under: Capsicum annuum
Lineage: Eukaryota; Viridiplantae; Streptophyta; Magnoliopsida; Solanales; Solanaceae
Description: long non-coding RNA (CANN_LNC012338)
Source: RNAcentral